CCCUUAGAUGUUCUGGGCCGCACGCGCGCUACACUGACACACUCAACGAGUUUAUAACCUUGCUCGAAAGGGCUGGGUAAUCUUGUAAAAUUGUGUCGUGAUGGGGAUAGAUUAUUGCAAUUAUUAAUCUUCAACGAGGAAUUCCUAGUAAACGCAAGUCAUCAGCUUGCAUUGAUUACGUCCCUGCCCUUUGUACACACCGCCCGUCGCACCUACCGAUUGAAUGGUCCGGUGAAAUUUUCGGACCGUGGCAAUGCUCCGUUCAUUCGGAGCGCUGCUGUGGGAAGUUAAUUAAACCUUACCAUUUAGAGGAAGGUGAAGUCGUAACA
Molecule: ribosomal RNA, 329 nt
Filed under: uncultured eukaryote
Lineage: Eukaryota
Description: partial 18S ribosomal RNA
Rfam family: Eukaryotic small subunit ribosomal RNA
Source: RNAcentral